UACGGGGGGGGCAAGCGUUGUUCGGAAUUACUGGGCGUAAAGGGCUCGUAGGUGGCCAACUAAGUCGGACGUGAAAUCCCUCAGCUUAACUGGGGAACUGCGUCCGAUACUGGAUGGCUCGAGUUUGGGAGAGGGAUGCGGAAUUCCAGGUGUAGCGGUGAAAUGCGUAGAUAUCGGGAGGAACACCAGUGGCGAAGGCGGCUACCUGGCCCACUCUUGACGCUGAGGCGCGAAAGCUAGGGGAGCAAACGGG
Molecule: ribosomal RNA, 253 nt
Filed under: uncultured bacterium
Lineage: Bacteria
Description: partial 16S ribosomal RNA
Rfam family: Bacterial small subunit ribosomal RNA
Source: RNAcentral